GGCGGCGGCGCCAGGGGGGUGACCCUGGAGCGGGUGCGACUCCGAGCGCCUGGGACUGGAGACUGCUUUGCGGUGGGGCAGGGUUUUUCCGGGAGGUGUUGGGGCAUUGCUGCGUGUCUGUGCUGCGGAAAGAACGGCAGAGUCCCGCUGCACGCGGGGUGGCGCGGCGCCUCGUCCAGGGCUGGGGUGGCGAGGUGUGUUUGGAGAGACCGCAAGACGCUGGUUAAUUUGCACCUUUUUCUCUACCCAGCGACUUCAGCCCGGACUGAGAACAGCUCUCCUAUUGUUUUCGUUUCCUACGUGGCCGAAACCCAGAGGAGCGGCGGGUCGCCUACCUGCCUUCCCUGCCCGGGCCGGGAGCGGCUGCGCGACCGGCCACGCGGGGCGCCGGCCACCUCCCCUAUGGCGCUUUCUUCCCGGUUCGGACCCGCCUGACUCAUCU
This 442-nucleotide long non-coding RNA is filed under the name Ovis aries (sheep). RNAcentral's name for it is "lncRNA (ENSOARG00000026601.1)". Lineage: Eukaryota; Metazoa; Chordata; Mammalia; Artiodactyla; Bovidae. The record is from RNAcentral.